AGCUUUGCGCAGUGGCAGUAUCGUAGCCAAUGAGGUUUAUCCAAGGCACGAUUAUUGCUAAUUGGGAUCAGUUAGUAGAAUGCUUUAUUGUCAGGAAAGGGAGUUUCAUGUGUAAACUGGUAGGCACC
Molecule: small nuclear RNA, 128 nt
Organism: Vulpes vulpes (red fox)
Lineage: Eukaryota; Metazoa; Chordata; Mammalia; Carnivora; Canidae
Gene: U4
Rfam family: U4 spliceosomal RNA
About the family: U4 small nuclear RNA (U4 snRNA) is a component of the major U2-dependent spliceosome. The structure of U4 snRNA from yeast and human has been reported.
Source: Ensembl